RNAcentral lists this ribosomal RNA (303 nucleotides) under uncultured bacterium. RNAcentral's name for it is "partial 16S ribosomal RNA". It matches the Rfam family "Bacterial small subunit ribosomal RNA", at positions 507 to 808 of the family's 1533-position model. The record is from RNAcentral.
AGCAGUAGCCACGGUAAUACGUAGGUCCCGAGCGUUGUCCGGAUUUAUUGGGCGUAAAGGGAGCGCAGGCGGUUUAGUAAGUCUGAAGUUAAAGGCAUUGGCUCAACCAAUGUAUGCUUUGGAAACUGUUAGACUUGAGUGCAGAAGGGGAGAGUGGAAUUCCAUGUGUAGCGGUGAAAUGCGUAGAUAUAUGGAGGAACACCGGUGGCGAAAGCGGCUCCCUGGUCUGUCACUGACGCUGAGGCUCGAAAGCGUGGGUAGCGAACAGGAUUAGAUACCCCAGUAGUCCCUGUCUCUUAUACA